Molecule: ribosomal RNA, 481 nt
Filed under: uncultured bacterium
Lineage: Bacteria
Description: bacterial SSU rRNA
Rfam family: Bacterial small subunit ribosomal RNA
Source: RNAcentral
GACGAACGCUGGCGGCGUGCUUAACACAUGCAAGUCGAGCGGAAAGGCCCUUUGGGGUACUCGAGCGGCGAACGGGUGAGUAACACGUGAGUAAUCUGCCCUGCACUCUGGGAUAGCCACCGGAAACGGUGAUUAAUACCGGAUAUGACAUAUCGACGCAUGUUGGUGUGUGGAAAGUUUUUUCGGUGUGGGAUGUGCUCGCGGCCUAUCAGCUUGUUGGUGGGGUAAUGGCCUACCAAGGCUUCGACGGGUAGCCGGCCUGAGAGGGUGACCGGUCACACUGGGACUGAGACACGGCCCAGACUCCUACGGGAGGCAGCAGUGGGGAAUAUUGGACAAUGGGCGAAAGCCUGAUCCAGCAACGCCGCGUGAGGGAUGACGGCCUUCGGGUUGUAAACCUCUUUCAGCGCAGACGAAGCGAAAGUGACGGUAUGCGCAGAAGAAGGACCGGCCAACUACGUGCCAGCAGCCGCGGUAACAC